AGGGGCAUCAUCCAAUGGUAGGAUAUCGGUCUCCAAAACCGCCAAUGAGGGUUCGAAUCCUUCUGCCCCUG
This 71-nucleotide transfer RNA is filed under the name Eubacteriales bacterium. RNAcentral's name for it is "tRNA-Trp". It matches the Rfam family "tRNA". From Rfam's summary of the family: Transfer RNA (tRNA) molecules are approximately 80 nucleotides in length. Their secondary structure includes four short double-helical elements and three loops (D, anti-codon, and T loops). Lineage: Bacteria; Bacillati; Bacillota; Clostridia; Eubacteriales. The record is from RNAcentral.